GUAGAUUAGUUGGUAAGGCGCUCGUCUUGCACACAAGAGUCGUGGAUUCGAAUUCCACC
Molecule: transfer RNA, 59 nt
Filed under: Aedes aegypti (yellow fever mosquito)
Lineage: Eukaryota; Metazoa; Arthropoda; Insecta; Diptera; Culicidae
Rfam family: tRNA
About the family: Transfer RNA (tRNA) molecules are approximately 80 nucleotides in length.
Source: Rfam by way of RNAcentral